Non-coding RNA from Camellia sinensis, 1568 nucleotides. NCBI's taxonomy places the organism in Eukaryota, Viridiplantae, Streptophyta, Magnoliopsida, Ericales, Theaceae. The record is from RefSeq and is a predicted model, not a curated record.
UUCUUCAGAACUCUCUCUCACAUCACACCCUUCACCAUCACUCUCUCACGACCAUCACUCAUCGGCAAUUCGGCGUGUAGCAGCGAAAUCAACUUAAGGAUUCACAAACAUCGUCUUGGUGGGUGGGUGUAGCGAAAUCGACUAAAAAACCUAUAAAUUAAUUUUCAGGCAACGAACUGAAUCAACCAUAUGAUGAAUACCGAAGCAAGAGCACCCAAAACAAUGAUUUAUGACAACUCAUUUCACCAAGGCAAACCAUUUCGUUUAUUUAUUCGUGACUGUCAUUUUCAUGAGAUACUUAGCGUGAACACAUCAAACACUGUAAAAGAUGUGAAGAAGAUGAUUGCGGAUGUUGUUGGAGUGCCUCCUAGUCAACAAUUGGUGGUUGAAAAUCUAGAUCACCCACCACAGGAUGAUGAAGAGAUCUUGGGUGCUCAUAGCAUCCAGAAGUUGGGCUUAGUUUGGCUCUUAAGCUUGUCGAUGAAGCUCUAGAUAAAUGUCCCCUAGGCAGGUACUUGUACGUAACUCAAUAUCUACAGCUCAUUCUCAGUUUCCAGCAUCAAGGACAUGAUCCACGACAAUAUGGUUGUCCCAUCCAAUAGACAAACUCUAGUCUAUUCUGGAAUAUCACUCGAUGAUAAGGCCUUGUCAUUCUAUGACAUUCCUAGGAAUUCCACCCUUUACACAAUCUUUGGGGCAGACAAUGGAACGUCUAAUUUGCUGAUAUUUGUUGAUGCUGGUAAAAAUGAAGCUCUUGCACUCAAAAUGAAACCCUGGUUUAUAAUUCUUGACGUGAAGUCUAUGAUUGAGAGCUGUUGUGGAAUUCCGAUUCAAAGUCAAGAGCUUGUUUACUUAAAGGAGAAGCUUGAGGACUAGAAAACUGUUGAAGGCUAUAAUAUGAACGAUGGGUCCUUCAUUUCUUUGAACAUUUCUGGCUCGUUGAUUAGGUUACAUAUCAAGGUAAAGAGCCGAAACAUGACCCAAAAUGUCAUAUCAUAUCAAGCAAAGAGUUUUGACACUGUCAAUGAAUUUUUAGCCAAGAUUCCUCAAGGGGUGUUAGCGAGCAUCGUUGUGGAACCAACUCUGUUUCUGGAGGAGACUAGGCUUAUGGGUGAUAAGGCUUUAGCCAAUUAUGAUCUCUAUUCAGGAUCUUUUCUCACACUGAAACGUGUUAUCCAAAUUCACGUGGCAAUUCCAUGCAAGCAAACAGUUAAGGUGAACCUGAAGGCAUAGGAUCCCAUCUAUCGGAUGAAUGAGAAGAUUGAAGAGACGUGUGGCAUCCCCGAUGAACUGCAACAACUGACUUAUCAUGGAGAUGCGGUGGAUGACAUGUUGAGGGUUGAGCAGUGUGAAAAAUUGUUUGGGAGCCUUUGGGUUCUCAGGUGGAACUGGGUUGGUAGGACUUGGUUUUUCUUCUGGCCAUCCUAUAUGCAUGUGUAGAGGGAAGGUAACAAAGUCUCUUUGACUUUAAGUAACUUUAAGUAAUUUCUAGUUUCAGUAUGUAAUCAAAACAUAAAAUAGGUCUACUCUUUUUGUUUUGGAAAUGGUGUAAAUAUGUUAUGUGUUAA